Molecule: long non-coding RNA, 4698 nt
Organism: Anguilla anguilla (European eel)
Lineage: Eukaryota; Metazoa; Chordata; Actinopteri; Anguilliformes; Anguillidae
Exons: 2
Source: RefSeq, a predicted model, not a curated record
GCAGUUUAAAAUUACAUGUGAAUUUCACUGGUUCAAAUGGUGGAAUUCGGGAAUAUUGUAGCCUAAUGGCUGUUUCACCAUUCAACAUUCGUGUAGGCCUACAUGUGCUUAAACAUAAAGGUCCAACGUACAUUUUGUAAUUCGGAAUCACUGUGUGUGUGUGUGUGUGUGUGUGUGUGGUUUGUGUGCGCGCGUGUGCUAGUACGUAGGCUAUGCGUGCCUGGGCUAUUUGUAGUCCACCCAUUUUCACUACUACCUAUCCUGCACUCUAAUAUUUGUCCUUUAUGCCGAAAUCGGAUAACAUCCAACGAGCACUGAAUCUCGCCAGUUAUACUGCAAAAAUCUCUCGAACUAGGGACUGUGGAAUGAUGAAUGUAAGUCUUUAAAAAACAUGCUAAUAGAGUAGCCUAAAUCAUUUCAGCGACGUCAUGGAAAUAUGUGGAAAUCCUUAGAAAUGUAGGAUUCCAGGUUCUUCCGCAAUACGCUGCUCGGUGAAGCAAGGAAGCCUGAAAAUUACAUUAGCCAAAUCCCAAAAUGAAACAGCUCAUGAAGCGUAUAGUCCUCCUGGUGUUCUUCUGCUGCAGUAUGUUUUACGAUUAAUUCCAUACAUUUUUUAGUCACGUGUUUUUAUAUGCAUUAUUAUUAUUAUUAUUAUUAUUAUUAUUAUUAUUUAUAGAGCUGCAGUAAGCCUAUUAUCUAUAUCGGUUUCACACUGACGAUAAUUCGGGAAUUUCCUAAACGAAAACGACAGUCGUUGUUUUAUUAAAGCAAUGACUGUGAAUUCAGUUGUGAAAGGAAAAAGGCGAAAACAAUGGACGUUCGCCGUUUAAUGGAAAGAAAGGCUUUAUGAACAGUGUGAGCUCGUGAUGUUCCUCGGCUCUGUUGAUGCGGGGAUUCCGGUCUAUUUUUAGCCCUUUGCUCUCGGUGGAGCAGCGGGGGUUUUCCCAGACAGCCUGUUACCGCUGCGCGAGGUUAAGACUAUCCAAUGAGUUUUGGGAUCGUGACCAGGCAACCAGACUAUUAAUAACCUCAGAAAAAAGACGGAGGAACGUUGCGCCUGUACCUUGAUGCCCAGAAUUCCAUGUUAGCCAUUAUGCAUAGUGUGUCUGCGUAAUUGCUUUUUGUCAUAUAAUUAUGUUUGUAUAAGAGCAAUAAUACCUCCCUAUGGGAAUUUUUUUUAAAGAGCACGGCGUCUGUCAAAAGAGCACGACGCGAUGAACUGAUGAAAAUGCUCAUGUAUUUAUACAACAGCUUCUAAAAAAAUGCAGGGAAACCUAAAGGGCUCUCAAGUGCAAGCGCACGCAUUCAGGAGGGCCAGGCCGAGCGGUCACAGUGAAGGACUCGGAGCCCUGGGCCACAGAGGAGGGCCUGUCCCUCAGGAUGCGCUCCACCGCAAUGGCCUGACUUACACUUCCCACCACAGCGAUCAACAAGGCAUCAAUCAAGGACAGAGAACCGCUCCUGCAGCUCUGCUCAGAUACAGUAUAUUGCUGUAAAACUAUAACACAUAUAGAUGGUAAAUGGACUGCAUUUAUAUAGCGCUUUUAUCCAAAGCGCUUUACAAUUGAUGCCUCUCAUUCGCCAGAGCAGUUAGGAGUUAGGUGUCUUGCUCAAGGACACUUCGACACACCCAGGGCGGGGUUUGAACCAGCAACCCUCCGACUGCCAGACAAUCGGUCUUACCUCCUGAGCUAUGUCGCCCCGUAGAUAAAUCUAUCAAGACAACCUGCUUGUCCCCAUAUAUUUUAACACCAAGAUGCUGGAAGUAGUAUUAUUUAGCUGUCGGGAUACCACCAGCUAGGACAGCAGCUCUAGCAACUCCAGCAAGUUGCAGAAUGUUCUAAUUUUAGACGAAGUGUCUGGUGGGUUUUCAUACAAUCUUUUCGUAACCCGGAGGGAAUAGCUCGGACGUUUUUGACAAGAAGUUUAUGAAACGUAGGAAAACCAGAUUCCAACACACACACACACAUACCCAAAGGCAAAGUGUGAAACAACAGUGAAAUCAACUGUUCCCGUUUAUAUGGCAUGCAGGUGCACUGACAGACUUGGCUUCGAGAGGGGCAUCCCAUGGGGGAGCAGCCAGCUGUUUCCCAUGUGGACAGGCAGGAGUUUUAAAGCCCCAUCAAACCAAGUCACACCCCUGCAUUUUAUAGCCUCCGUUUCACUUCGUUAGCCAGUUCUUUAACGAAUGCACACAAAAAAAAAGAUUUCAUGGGAUAUUAAACGAAGGGCAGCGAUGAAGGAGUUCUAUCUGUGCUAAUUAAACUCAUCCCCAACUGACUUUCAGGGCAAGUGGAAAAGGGCAGUAGGAGCUAGAGCAACGGAAAUCUUCCCAAAUUAGCAAAAUAAUGGUAAACUUGCAGCUUUAGCUCCUUGAAAGAAGAUUUUCUAGAGUAGCACUGCCGUACAGCUGCGCGUAUGCCGCAGGUUCAAAACUACCCCUCGUACACCUGCGUGUUCGUAUACACUGCCGGUUACUCAUCUCAAGGCAAUUAAAACUCCAUUUUCACAGAGCCUGUUACACAAAUAAUCCCAUUAACAACAUGCGACAGAUAGCCAAAUCACUGGAGUGUCAUAUAUGGGCCGCCAGCGCCGAAGCCCAGGAGACGCGUGCUGAUUCGAAGCGGUACAGUGGGCACGGGGGGAAUCCGCCGUCCUUGCCCGUGGCGGUGCCUGGUCGCUGAUGAAAUACCCCAGUGAGCAGGGAGCGCAAGUUCAUUAAUGGCGAGAGGAACUCUGGCUCCGGCUGAUUGCCGGCUGUUUCAAUACACUAAGCAAGGGAGGAGCGCAUAGAGGUGAAAUAUUCUGCGGGGAGGUCAAUCGAUCCUGCUCCGCCCCUCCUAACGGCCCGGGGAGAGGGGAGACGAAUCAGCCCCCUUCCUCCACCUGCAUCUGUGCAGGAGCCUGUCCACCAUCCCUGCCUUUCUCCCUCUCCUCUAUGACCGUUUCCAGGACUCAGAUCAGUGCCUUAAAUCAACUGCUACUACUCGAGGAUAUGAGCAAAGAGUAAAUUAACAGCCGCAAUGGGGAUAUAACUGGAAAAGGGGAGGGGAAGUAACACAGCUAGUCACAGUGGUCACGUCCAAUGCAGACGCCUGUACGCUGCAUUAAAAGAGGACGACAGAUAAAUCAGGAGAAAAACCAACGGGGCAAUCACUCAUAUGGAAUGUACAUUGAAUACAUAUCCCGUAUUUAUAUACACAGUGUAUAUGUGCACACACACAUAUUUGGCCCAAUAUGAAAAAUCUAGUUACAAGUAGUUGUGACUCUCUCACCCACAUCCAAUUUUACAUUUGAGGUUAACAGUGACAGAAAAGUCAUCAUACUUUAAGACCUCUGGUAAAGGAGACAAAGCUUGUUUGACUUAUUCCCUGGACAGUACCUACACCAGGAGACUAAUUGACUUCUGUGACUGAUUAGCCCUCCAGACCAAAAGCUUGCGCAUUUGCCUUUUCAUUACUCUCCUGUGAGCAGUCAAGGUGACCUAAGGGUGCUUUUUUAAUACCAAAAAAAUUCCUAAACAUUCAUUGUUAAUUAGCAAGGCACCAACUGGAGACGGGGAUUUGAGGCAAAAGCUAAAUUUAUUUUAAAGUCAAAUUAUCGCCACAUUUCUCUCAGCAGUUACAGAAGUGAAAGAAAAAAUGUGCGGAAAUGUAAAGCCCAACUCAACUGCUAGCAGAAGGCCCCUUUAGAGAUACACAGUGAUGUCACCCAGCACUGCUCUCCACCUCUCCCCAAACACCACCUCUAACUGAUAUUUAGUAAACAUUUUUGGCAAACACCUGCUCAUCUCUAUCAUGAAUGUUAAAUACGGUAUGAUGAUAAAAUGACUAUUGAAAUAAUAAUGUCAUCGAAAUGGCCUGCACAAUUGUAGGUUUCUUUGUUGCACCUGAUAUUUAAUCCCCUUCAAGAUUUUUUUAACAGCUGAAGCAAUGUAGCAUACAUUAUUUUAAAACAGAUUCUUCGUGAAAUUCAACAAUAUAGAAAUAACUGGCAGCAGUUACAGCAGUCAGCAGCUAUUUUGCAAGCUGCUCAUGACAAUAAAAUUGCCAUAACUGGAACAGGGCACACGAUUUGGGAUUAAAUUCUAUAAAUUCAGUUCAGAUACAAUUAAGCUUUGAGAUUCCAAAAAUUACAUUAAAAAAUCAAUUAAAUUCUUAUCCAUCCUAAAAAGCUCCACUCUAUUCAGUAUACUGCUCCAAUUCAUUCAAUAUAAUCACACAACGCAAUACAAAUAUAGCUAGAAAACACCUAUAUCUACACUAACUAAUUAUAACAAUAUAUUGAUUUCAUACUUAGCUUUGUCUUUUUUUUCCUUUUACCCAUUAAAAGCACUUUUGUUCUGAAACCUUUGAAUAAAUUGAGGCUGAGGUAAAAUUGUGAGUGCAAAUAUGGUUUUAUUUAACUAUAAAUAUGCAUUGUUAGGUUCAAUACAAAAUGAUCUAGUAUAUAAUGAGAAAAGCAUCAAUAGCGAUCAACGAUGAGGGGAAAAUUGUAGUCGCUUUCCAAGGAAUCUUGCCGAUAAACCUUUCCACAGAUUCCUUGUCCAUUAAAUUCUGCAUUUCUAUUAAAAUUAUGUUUUUUUUUUGGGUGCAAAACCUGCAUCCUGUGAUCACCUGCAACCCAGUGACCCUGCUUCAUUCAGUAUCUGACCACGAUCUCUGACUUUUUCCGCAUAUACGAACCCGAUUUAUUACA